AAAGGAAUAGACGGGGACCCGCACAAGCAGCGGAGCAUGUGGUUUAAUUCGAAGCAACGCGAAGAACCUUACCAGGGCUUGACAUCCCUCUGACCGGCGUGUAACGGCGCCUUCCCUUCGGGGCAGAGGUGACAGGUGGUGCAUGGUUGUCGUCAGCUCGUGUCGUGAGAUGUUGGGUUAAGUCCCGCAACGAGCGCAACCCUUGUCAUUAGUUGCCAGCAGGUUAAGCUGGGCACUCUAGUGAGACUGCCGGGGAUAACUCGGAGGAAGGUGGGGAUGACGUCAAAUCAUCAUGCCCCUUAUGUUCUGGGCUACACACGUGCUACAAUGGCCGGUACAGAGAGAAGCAAUACUGCGAAGUGGAGCAAAACUCUAAAACCGGUCCCAGUUCGGAUUGCAGGCUGAAACCCGCCUGCAUGAAGUCGGAGUUGCUAGUAAUCGCGAAUCAGAAUGUCGCGGUGAAUGCGUUCCCGGGUCUUGUACACACCGCCCGU
This 494-nucleotide ribosomal RNA is filed under the name uncultured bacterium. Its description in RNAcentral is "bacterial SSU rRNA". It matches the Rfam family "Bacterial small subunit ribosomal RNA", at positions 903 to 1397 of the family's 1533-position model. The record is from RNAcentral.